AACGAACGCUGGCGGCAUGCCUAACACAUGCAAGUCGAACGAGAACUUCGGGUCUAGUGGCGCACGGGUGCGUAACGCGUGGGAACCUGCCCUUAGGUUCGGAAUAACUCUCCGAAAGGGGUGCUAAUACCGGAUAAUGUCUUCGGACCAAAGAUUUAUCGACUUUGGAUGGGCCCGCGUUGGAUUAGCUAGUUGGUAGGGUAAAAGCCUACCAAGGCGACGAUUCAUAGCUGGUCUGAGAGGAUGGUCAGCCACACUGGGACUGAGACACGGCCCAGACUCCUACGGGAGGCAGCAGUGGGUAAUAGUGGACAAUGGGCGAAAGCCUGAUCCAGCAAGGCCGCGUGAGUGAUGAAGGCCGUAGGGUUGUAAAGCUCUUUUACCCGGGAUGAUAAUGACAGUACCGGGAGAAUAAGCCCCGGCUAACUCCGUG
RNAcentral lists this ribosomal RNA (433 nucleotides) under uncultured bacterium. Its description in RNAcentral is "partial 16S ribosomal RNA". It matches the Rfam family "Bacterial small subunit ribosomal RNA", at positions 29 to 507 of the family's 1533-position model. The record is from RNAcentral.